UCUCCGUUAUCCGAAGCGGUUUCACUAGAGUGCCCGGCUUGACCCGAUGGCAACUAGGGAUAAGGGUUGCGCUCGUUGCGGGACUUAACCCAACACCUCACGGCACGAGCUGACGACAGCCAUGCAGCACCUGUGCUAGCUCCCCGAAGGGUCCUUCAUGUUUCUAAUCCGUACUACUAGCAUGUCAAGCCUUGGUAAGGUUCUUCGCGUUGCAUCGAAUUAAACCACACGCUCCGCCGCUUGUGCGGGCCCCCGUCAAUUCCUUUGAGUUUCAGCCUUGCGGCCGUACUCCCCAGGCGGAGAACUUAUCGCGUUUGCUACGAUACUAAAGAGUCUAAGCUCCCUAACAUCUAGUUCUCAUCGUUUACGGCGUGGACUAC
Molecule: unclassified non-coding RNA, 380 nt
Filed under: uncultured bacterium
Lineage: Bacteria
Description: contains 16S-23S intergenic spacer region
Source: RNAcentral